This 27-nucleotide non-coding RNA is filed under the name Homo sapiens (human). Lineage: Eukaryota; Metazoa; Chordata; Mammalia; Primates; Hominidae. The record is from RNAcentral.
UGUGACGGCUGAGACAUGAGAUCUUCA